UCGACGGUGACCUCGGAGCUUGCUCCGGGCGAUCAGUGGCGAACGGGUGAGUAACACGUGAGUAACCUGCCCUUGACUCUGGGAUAAGCCCGGGAAACUGGGUCUAAUACCGGAUACGCGACGAGAAGGCAUCUUCAUCGUCGGGAAAGAAUUUCGGUCAAGGAUGGACUCGCGGCCUAUCAGCUUGUUGGUGAGGUAAUGGCUCACCAAGGCGACGACGGGUAGCCGGCCUGAGAGGGCGACCGGCCACACUGGAACUGAGACACGGUCCAGACUCCUACGGGAGGCAGCAGUGGGGAAUAUUGCACAAUGGGCGCAAGCCUGAUGCAGCGACGCCGCGUGGGGGAUGAAGGCCUUCGGGUUGUAAACCCCUUUCAGCAGGGAAGAAGCGAAAGUGACGGUACCUGCAGAAGAAGCGCCGGCUAACUACGUGCCAGCAGCCACGGUAAUACGUAGGGCGCAAGCGUUGUCCGGAAUUAUUGGGCGUAAAGAGCUCGUAGGCGGUUCGUCGCGUCUGCCGUGAAAGCCCGAGGCUCAACCUCGGGUCUGCGGUGGGUACGGGCGGACUAGAGUGUGGUAGGGGAGACUGGAAUUCCUGGUGUAGCGGUGGAAUGCGCAGAUAUCAGGAGGAACACCAAUGGCGAAGGCAGGUCUCUGGGCCACAACUGACGCUGAGGAGCGAAAGCGUGGGUAGCAAACAGGAUUAGAUACCCUGGUAGUCCACGCCGUANACGGUGGGCACUAGAUGUGGGGNUCAUUCCACGAGUUCCGCGUCGCAGCUAACGCAUUAAGUGCCCCGCCUGGGGAGUACGGCCGCAAGGCUAANACUCAAAGGAAUUGACGGGGGCNCG
RNAcentral lists this ribosomal RNA (851 nucleotides) under uncultured bacterium. RNAcentral describes it as "bacterial SSU rRNA". It matches the Rfam family "Bacterial small subunit ribosomal RNA", at positions 62 to 923 of the family's 1533-position model. The record is from RNAcentral.